Molecule: ribosomal RNA, 1534 nt
Filed under: uncultured Glomus
Lineage: Eukaryota; Fungi; Glomeromycota; Glomeromycetes; Glomerales; Glomeraceae
Description: eukaryotic LSU rRNA
Rfam family: Eukaryotic large subunit ribosomal RNA (bases 689-1534)
Source: RNAcentral
UAUUGCUCUUGAACGAGGAAUCCCUAGUAAGCACAAGUCACCAGCUUGUGCUGAUUACGUCCCUGCCCUUUGUACACACCGCCCGUCGCUACUACCGAUUGAAUGGCUUAGUGAGGCCCUCGGAUCGACUUUCUGAGACUGGCAACAGUCCCUGAUUGUUGAGAAGUUGGUCAAACUUGGUCAUUUAGAGGAAGCAAAAGUCGUAACAAGGUUUCCGUAGGUGAACCUGCGGAAGGAUCAUUAAUGAUUUGGCGAACCUAACGUUAGUUAGGUUUUGCGAUCACUUAUUUAAAACCCAACUCUUAAAUGUAUAAUUUAUGUAUUUCUUGAUAAGAAAAAUAAAGAUCACUUUCAACAACGGAUCUCUUGGCUCUCGCAUCGAUGAAGAACGUAGCGAAGCGCGAUAAGUAAUGUGAAUUGCAGAAUUCCGUGAAUCAUCGAAUCUUUGAACGCAAAUUGCACUUUCUGGUAUUCCGGAAAGUAUGCCUGUUUGAGGGUCAGUUAAAUAAAAAUCGGUGUUAUUGCUAUUAUGGCGAUGCAUCGGAAUUGAGUCGUCUUUACCUUUGGUUUAAGUGACUUAAAAUUAUGUACGAUUUUUGAACGUAUUUAAAUUAUUUACUUAUGUUCAUAAUAUCACAUAUUAGGUGCGAUCAUCCACAUGAUUUCGCGCCUAUAAUUUUUCAUUAUUUGACCUCAAAUCAGGUAAGAAUACCCGCUGAACUUAAGCAUAUCAAUAAGCGGAGGAAAAGAAAAUAACAAUGAUUCCCUUAGUAACGGCGAGUGAAGGGGGAUAAGCUCAAAUUUUAAAUCUGCUAGGUUUUACUUAUCAGAGUUGUAAUUUGAAGAAGCGUUUUCCGCGUCUCGGUUGACCCAAAUCCUUUGGGAUAUGGUGUCAUGGAGGGUGAGAAUCCCGUCCGGUUGACUUUGUGACGCUUUACGAUACGUUUUCAAAGAGUCGAGUUGUUUGGGAUUGCAGCUCAAAAUGGGAGGUAAAUUUCUCCUAAGGCUAAAUAUUGGCGAGAGACCGAUAGCGAACAAGUACCGUGAGGGAAAGAUGAAAAGUACUUUGAAAAGAGAGUUAAACAGUAUGUGAAAUUGUUGAAAGGGAAACGAUUGAAGCCAGUCGUUCUGACGGAAAAUCAACUUUUCGGGUGCCUAUCGUGGGUGACGUUGAGCCUCACGGUCUUCGUUGCUUGUGUUUGUUGGUACCUUUGGAGUGCACUUUUUCGUAUGGUAGGUCAACAUCGAUUUUAAUCGUCAUAAAAUGAUCGGAGGAAUGUGGCUUCGAUUUCGAUUGGAGUGUUAUAGCCUUUGGUAGAUGUGACGAUUGGGAUCGAGGAUUGCAACGAAUACCCUUUGGGCUAUCCGUCUGGCCUCUGAAAGUCGCUUGGGUGCUGAAAGCUUUGCUUAUAGUAUUCAAGUUGGCGGUCAACAGGUUAGAACGUGAUUACAUUCGUUAAGGAUGUUGACGUAAUGGCUUUAAACGACCCGUCUUGAAACACGGACCAAGGAGUCUAACAUAUGUGCGAGUGUU